UACGGAGGAUCCAAGCGUUAUCCGGAAUCAUUGGGUUUAAAGGGUGCGUAGGCGGAUUAAUAAGUCAGAGGUGAAAUCCUACAGCUCAACUGUAGAACUGCCUUUGAUACUGUUAGUCUUGAAUCUAGUUGAAGUAGGCGGAAUGUAACAUGUAGCGGUGAAAUGCAUAGAGAUGUUACAGAACACCGAUUGCGAAGGCAGCUUACUAAGCUAGUAUUGACGCUGAUGCACGAAAGCGUGGGGAGCGAACAGG
This 253-nucleotide ribosomal RNA is filed under the name uncultured bacterium. Its description in RNAcentral is "partial 16S ribosomal RNA". It matches the Rfam family "Bacterial small subunit ribosomal RNA", at positions 524 to 776 of the family's 1533-position model. The record is from RNAcentral.